This 861-nucleotide ribosomal RNA is filed under the name uncultured bacterium. RNAcentral's name for it is "bacterial SSU rRNA". It matches the Rfam family "Bacterial small subunit ribosomal RNA", at positions 28 to 898 of the family's 1533-position model. The record is from RNAcentral.
GAUGAACGCUAGCGGCAGGCUUAACACAUGCAAGUCGAGGGGUAGAAGUCUUCGGACUUUGAGACCGGCGCACGGGUGCGUAACGCGUAUGCAAUCUACCUUUUACAGAGGGAUAGCCCAGAGAAAUUUGGAUUAAUACCUCAUAGUAUUAUGAAAUGGCAUCAUUUUAUAAUUAAAGUCACAACGGUAAAAGAUGAGCAUGCGUCCCAUUAGCUAGUUGGUAAGGUAACGGCUUACCAAGGCUACGAUGGGUAGGGGUCCUGAGAGGGAGAUCCCCCACACUGGUACUGAGACACGGACCAGACUCCUACGGGAGGCAGCAGUGAGGAAUAUUGGACAAUGGGCGCAAGCCUGAUCCAGCCAUGCCGCGUGCAGGAUGACGGUCCUAUGGAUUGUAAACUGCUUUUAUACGAGAAGAAACACUCCUUCGUGAAGGAGCUUGACGGUAUCGUAAGAAUAAGGAUCGGCUAACUCCGUGCCAGCAGCCGCGGUAAUACGGAGGAUCCAAGCGUUAUCCGGAAUCAUUGGGUUUAAAGGGUCCGUAGGCGGUUUAAUAAGUCAGUGGUGAAAGCCCAUCGCUCAACGAUGGAACGGCCAUUGAUACUGUUAAACUUGAAUUAUUAGGAAGUAACUAGAAUAUGUAGUGUAGCGGUGAAAUGCUUAGAGAUUACAUGGAAAUACCAAUUGCGAAGGCAGGUUACUACUAAUAUAUUGACGCUGAUGGACGAAAGCGUGGGGAGCGAACAGGAUUAGAUACCCUGGUAGUCCACGCCGUAAACGAUGGAUACUAGCUGUUCGGAGCAAUCUGAGUGGCUAAGCGAAAGUGAUAGUAUCCCACCUGGGAGUACGUUCGCAGAUGAA